This 253-nucleotide ribosomal RNA is filed under the name uncultured bacterium. RNAcentral's name for it is "partial 16S ribosomal RNA". It matches the Rfam family "Bacterial small subunit ribosomal RNA", at positions 524 to 776 of the family's 1533-position model. The record is from RNAcentral.
UACGGAGGGUGCAAGCGUUAUCCGGAUUCACUGGGUUUAAAGGGUGCGUAGGUGGGUUGGUAAGUCAGUGGUGAAAUCUCCAGGCUUAACUUGGAAACUGCCAUUGAUACUAUCAGUCUUGAAUAUUGUGGAGGUCAGCGGAAUAUGUCAUGUAGCGGUGAAAUGCUUAGAUAUGACAUAGAACACCAAUUGCGAAGGCAGCUGGCUACACAUAUAUUGACACUGAGGCACGAAAGCGUGGGGAUCAAACAGG